AACAUAUGGUGUGGGCAUUAUCUGAGCAUAUUAUUGUAUCUAUCUCAUGCUUCAAAUAAAAAUUCUGAAUCGAAUUGUUUAAAACUUGCAAUAAGAUUUCUUAUAUG
This is a small nucleolar RNA of Zingiber officinale, 107 nucleotides long. Lineage: Eukaryota; Viridiplantae; Streptophyta; Magnoliopsida; Zingiberales; Zingiberaceae. The record is from RefSeq and is a predicted model, not a curated record.